RNAcentral lists this long non-coding RNA (280 nucleotides) under Pogona vitticeps (central bearded dragon). RNAcentral's name for it is "lncRNA (ENSPVIG00000009705.1)". The record is from RNAcentral. Lineage: Eukaryota; Metazoa; Chordata; Lepidosauria; Squamata; Agamidae.
UUGGCCAGCCUAAGGGAGUUAAUUCCAUUGGUUCAUGCUGUGUUUCUCCACACAACAUGUAGAGGCACUCCAUAAAUCCCCGCACUUCUCUGCACUCUUAUCUGAAUGGUAAUGCAGUUAUUAAACAAAGUAAGAAGGAGGAGGAGGAAAAGAAGAAGAAGAAGAAGAAGGAGAAGACGACAACGACGAUGACGAAUGGAACAGGCAAGCUGGCCCAGGGAACUUUCCCACAGGGAGGGCAAAACAUGGUCUGUGCAAACCUCAAGAUCAUAAAGAAGAC